CCCCGCACAAGCGGUGGAUGAUGUGGAUUAAUUCGAUGCAACGCGAAGAACCUUACUACCCUUGACAUGUCCGGAACUUGCCAGAGAUGGCUUGGUGCCCGAAAGGGAAUCGGAACACAGGUGCUGCAUGGCUGUCGUCAGCUCGUGUCGUGAGAUGUUGGGUUAAGUCCCGCAACGAGCGCAACCCUUAUCAUUAGUUGCUACGCAAGGGCACUCUAAUGAGGCUGCCGGUGACAAACCGGAGGAAGUGGGGAUGACGUCAAGUCCUCAUGGCCCUUAUGGGUAGGGCUUCACACGUCAUACAAUGGUCGGUACAGAGGGUUGCCAAGCCGCGAGGCGGAGCCAAUCCCACAAAGCCGAUCGUAGUCCGGAUUGUUCUCUGCAACUCGAGAGCAUGAAGUCGGAAUCGCUAGUAAUCGCAGGUCAGCAUACUGCGGUGAAUACGUUCCCGGGUCUU
This 457-nucleotide ribosomal RNA is filed under the name uncultured Thiobacillus sp. Its description in RNAcentral is "bacterial SSU rRNA". It matches the Rfam family "Bacterial small subunit ribosomal RNA", at positions 920 to 1378 of the family's 1533-position model. The record is from RNAcentral. Lineage: Bacteria; Pseudomonadati; Pseudomonadota; Betaproteobacteria; Nitrosomonadales; Thiobacillaceae.